Molecule: ribosomal RNA, 492 nt
Filed under: uncultured bacterium
Lineage: Bacteria
Description: partial 16S ribosomal RNA
Rfam family: Bacterial small subunit ribosomal RNA
Source: RNAcentral
AGUGAACGCUGGCGGUAGGCCUAACACAUGCAAGUCGAACGGCAGCACAGUAAGAGCUUGCUCUUACGGGUGGCGAGUGGCGGACGGGUGAGGAAUACAUCGGCAUCUACUUUUUCGGGGGGGAUAACGUAGGGAAACUGACGCUACUACCGCAUACUACCUACGGGUGAAAGCAUGGGAUCUUCGGACCUUGCGCGAUUGAAUGAGCCGAUGUCGGAUUAGCUAGUUGGCUGGGUAAAGGCCCACCAAGGCGACGAUCCGUAGCUGGUCUGAGAGGAUGAUCAGCCACACUGGAACUGAGACACGGUCCAGACUCCUACGGGAGGCAGCAGUGGGGAAUAUUGGACAAUGGGCGCAAGCCUGAUCCAGCCAUACCGCGUGGGUGAAGAAGGCCUUCGGGUUGUAAAGCCCUUUUGUUGGGAAAGAAAAGCAGCAGAUUAAUCCCCCGCUGUUCUGACGGUACCCAAAGAAUAAGCACCGGCUAACUUCGUG